RNAcentral lists this ribosomal RNA (903 nucleotides) under Lomentospora prolificans. RNAcentral describes it as "LSU rRNA". It matches the Rfam family "Eukaryotic large subunit ribosomal RNA", at positions 38 to 968 of the family's 3401-position model. Lineage: Eukaryota; Fungi; Ascomycota; Sordariomycetes; Microascales; Microascaceae. The record is from RNAcentral.
GCAUAUCAAUAAGCGGAGGAAAAGAAACCAACAGGGAUUGCCUCAGUAACGGCGAGUGAAGCGGCAACAGCUCAAAUUUGAAAUCUGGCCGCCUGUGCGGUCCGAGUUGUAAUUUGAAGAGGAUGCUUUUGGCAAGGUGCCUUCCGAGUGCCCUGGAAUGGGACGCCAUAGAGGGUGAGAGCCCCGUAUGGUCGGUCGCCGAGCCUCUGUAAAGCUCCUUCGACGAGUCGAGUAGUUUGGGAAUGCUGCUCAAAAUGGGAGGUAAACCCCUUCUAAAGCUAAAUAUUGGCCAGAGACCGAUAGCGCACAAGUAGAGUGAUCGAAAGAUGAAAAGCACUUUGAAAAGAGAGUUAAACAGCACGUGAAAUUGUUGAAAGGGAAGCGCUUGCGACCAGACUUGUGCUCGUCGAAUCAGCCGUCGCUCGUCGGCGGCGCAUUUCGGCGGGCUCAGGCCAGCAUCAGUUCGCUGUAGGGGGAGAAAGGCGGUAGGAAUGUGGCUCUUCGGAGUGUUAUAGCCUGCCGUGUAAUACCCCUCGGCGGACUGAGGACCGCGCAUCUGCAAGGAUGCUGGCGUAAUGGUUGUCAGCGACCCGUCUUGAAACACGGACCAAGGAGUCGUCCUAAUAUGCGAGUGUUCGGGUGUAAAACCCCUACGCGUAAUGAAAGUGAACGGAGGUGAGAGCUUCGGCGCAUCAUCGACCGAUCCUGAUGUUCUCGGAUGGAUUUGAGUAUGAGCAUAUUGGGCCGGACCCGAAAGAAGGUGAACUAUGCCUGUAUAGGGUAAAGCCAGAGGAAACUCUGGUGGAGGCUCGCAGCGGUUCUGACGUGCAAAUCGAUCGUCAAAUAUGGGCAUGGGGGCGAAAGACUAAUCGAACCUUCUAGUAGCUGGUUUCCGCCGAAGUU